Molecule: ribosomal RNA, 253 nt
Filed under: uncultured bacterium
Lineage: Bacteria
Description: partial 16S ribosomal RNA
Rfam family: Bacterial small subunit ribosomal RNA
Source: RNAcentral
UACGUAGGGUGCAAGCGUUGUCCGGAAUUAUUGGGCGUAAAGAGCUCGUAGGCGGUUUGUCGCGUCUGCUGUGAAAACUCGGGGCUUAACUCCGGGCCUGCAGUGGGUACGGGCAGACUAGAGUGCGGUAGGGGAGACUGGAAUUCCUGGUGUAGCGGUGAAAUGCGCAGAUAUCAGGAGGAACACCGGUGGCGAAGGCGGGUCUCUGGGCCGAUACUGAUGCUGAGGAGCGAAAGCGUGGGGAGCGAACAGG